Molecule: microRNA precursor, 102 nt
Filed under: Astyanax mexicanus (Mexican tetra)
Lineage: Eukaryota; Metazoa; Chordata; Actinopteri; Characiformes; Acestrorhamphidae
Description: mir-454 microRNA precursor family
Rfam family: mir-454 microRNA precursor family
Source: Rfam by way of RNAcentral
UCAUCUGAUCCUAAUUUCUGGGACCCUAUCAGUAUUGUCUCUGCUGUCCACUGUGUUCGGAGUAGUGCAAUAUUGCUUAUAGGGUUUCAGUCUUUAGGUGUU